GCGAAAGACAUCUUUUUUAGUGGUUUUUUUGUGAGUUGUAUUUUGCAAGUUCAAGUUAUAAACUUUAUCAAACCUAAAAUGUUUGUUUAAAGUUUGGAUUUCUUUAACGUUGUUCAAACUAAUUUUUUUAGUAAAAGCUUUUUUGGUUUGAGUUCGUGUGAGUUUGACGGAUUUUAUGGGUUUGUCCCAUUUUGACCCGACCAAACACGAACCCGUUGUCUAGAUGUACGUUAUUAUAUUUGAUCGAGUUUUUUUUUUUUUUUUUUUUUCACUACUGCUAGAUAUUCCUGCAUCCGUUGUGAUUAUACCCAAAAACUAUUAUGAACAUAUUAUAUUGUUACUUACGUCACACCAUUUUUCCUUGUGCGGUUUUAAUUUCUUCUAAAAUUAAAAAAGUUAAAUUACAUUGUUACCCCAACAAGUAAAAACUAUAAAAAGUGAAGUUGAGUCAUAGAAGAAAAGGCCAAAUAAGAAUGUAAUGGUCGAGAGAGAAGCAGCUGAAAAGGGAAGACGUGGGAAUCAUAUACCCUUGGUAAAGAAGCGAUGAUCAAAGGCUAACUUGCCUUUCUUAUAUGCUCAUCAUCCCCAAAAGAACCUUCCUUUUCCUUUGCAUUAUUAUUAUUCCACUCCAAAAUUCCUAAUUGUUUGUGUGUUUUCUUAAUAAUGUCAACUUCUUCUACAUUUUUGGUUUAUUUUCCAUCGUUAUGCGUUCUUUGCGAGUUUUUAUUUUCAUUUUACAGUUGUAUAAGUAAAGAGAGACCGAAUUCAUAUAUUCGAGAUGAUGAAUUUUCUUCCAUAAAAGUGAGGUCCCAUGUAUGCAUCUUUUAGUUUCGAGGUUAUAUGAAAAGAAAAGAGAAUUUUAGGUUCUCUUUUAUCUGCAUAUUUUAUUCCCGUUUAAGAUUUUCAUGUGUUCUGUUCUUCACCAUUUUGCUGAUAUUUAAAUGAAGUGAGACUAUUUUAACAUCGUAUUUUUUAUAUUUCUUUCUAAACGUUUCUAGGUGAUGAGGUUCUUAGUCUAAAUCUCUUUAAUUCACGUUUGUACAUUAACAUACAGAAUAUUUUCUAAGUGUAUAGAACCAAUGUUACUUCGGAUGAUUGCGGAAAGGUAAAGACAUGACCUUACACAUCCUCAUAUUUUGACUUAUGAUUUUGGGAGACUCUGAUGUUGAACAUGUAUUGAAAAAUAUGUUUGUAAACAAUUUGUAAAAUUGGUUGGUUUUAAAAAGUUUAAAAUUUUUCAUGGUUUU
Lactuca sativa (garden lettuce) is the source of this 1247-nucleotide non-coding RNA. NCBI's taxonomy places the organism in Eukaryota, Viridiplantae, Streptophyta, Magnoliopsida, Asterales, Asteraceae. The record is from RefSeq and is a predicted model, not a curated record.